GAAAUACAUUAUAUUUAAGCUUCUAACUUAAAUCUUAAGCAACAAAGAUUGUUUAUAUUUCU
This 62-nucleotide transfer RNA is filed under the name Dibolia occultans. RNAcentral describes it as "tRNA-Ser". The record is from RNAcentral. Lineage: Eukaryota; Metazoa; Arthropoda; Insecta; Coleoptera; Chrysomelidae.